This 459-nucleotide ribosomal RNA is filed under the name uncultured bacterium. RNAcentral's name for it is "partial 16S ribosomal RNA". It matches the Rfam family "Bacterial small subunit ribosomal RNA", at positions 338 to 795 of the family's 1533-position model. The record is from RNAcentral.
CCUACGGGGGGCAGCAGUGAGGAAUAUUGGUCAAUGGGCGAGAGCCUGAACCAGCCAAGUCGCGUGAGGGAGUACUGCCCUAUGGGUUGUAAACCUCUUUUGUCGGGGAGCAAAAGCCGGACGUGUCCGCCUGUGAGAGUACCCGAAGAAAAAGCAUCGGCUAACUCCGGGCCAGCAGCCGCGGUGAUACGGAGGAUGCGAGCGUUAUCCGGAUUUAUUGGGGUUAAAGGGGGCGUAGGCGGUUUGGUAAAGUAGAGGGGAAAUGUCGGGGCUCAACCCCCAAACUGCCUCUAAGACUGGUGGACUAGAGAAUAGGUGAGGUAGGCGGAAUGUAUGGUGUAGCGGUGAAAUGCAUAGAGAUCAUACAGAACACCGAUUGCGAAGGCAGCUUACCAACCUAUAUCUGACGUUGAGGCACGAAAGCGUGGGUAGCAAACAGGAUUAGAUACCCGGGUAGUC